AGCCAUGCAGUGAGCACAAAGCAAACUAUUCUUUCGCCUUUUACUAAAGAAUACCGUGUGUGCAUUGCAAAUAGUGGCAUAUGCCAAUUUUUGGAGGGGUUCUCUUCUUUGAGCACC
RNAcentral lists this small nuclear RNA (117 nucleotides) under Solanum lycopersicum (tomato). RNAcentral describes it as "U5 spliceosomal RNA". It matches the Rfam family "U5 spliceosomal RNA". From Rfam's summary of the family: U5 RNA is a component of both types of known spliceosome. The precise function of this molecule is unknown, though it is known that the 5' loop is required for splice site selection and p220 binding, and that both the 3' stem-loop and the Sm site are important for Sm protein binding and cap methylation. Lineage: Eukaryota; Viridiplantae; Streptophyta; Magnoliopsida; Solanales; Solanaceae. The record is from Rfam by way of RNAcentral.